RNAcentral lists this long non-coding RNA (5159 nucleotides) under Homo sapiens (human). RNAcentral's name for it is "HSALNT0268581". Lineage: Eukaryota; Metazoa; Chordata; Mammalia; Primates; Hominidae. The record is from RNAcentral.
AGGAAACAUAGGAAUGAACCUGAGACAGGGGAGAAAAUGGAGAGAGGAGGGAUGAGAGCUGGAAGGGGGUCAGAAACACCCAAGCACGGGGUUCAGAUGCACAGCAGGCUCCCUAAGUGUGAGUUGCUGUUUCUGCAAACAGGAGUUGUUCCCUGAGCACCUACUCUCUACCAGGUACAUUUCCAAGCCCUGGGUGUCCAUCAAGUCCUUUAAUCCUCCCAGCAGUGCCAGGGAGGCUUCAUCUGCUCCCCACAUCUCUGCUUCCCCCGCCCCAUGUUCAGAUUCUAAAAAACCAAAAGGGCUCCCUCUAAUUCAUCUCGCCCCCAGAGAGCACUGACUCCCCACGGUGUCCCACUGAGCCCCACUGAGUCCAGUCCACCUCAACUUUCCUGCCUCUGGGAACAGGGUACCCACCCUCUGAGGGCCCCACUUCCCAAAGUUCUUUGUCCUGGCACAGCAGGUGCUGAGUAGCUCCCUGGACCUCUGUUUCCGCAUCUGUAAAAAGCCACUAAUCCUAAUUGCACCUCCUAGGCUGAUUGUGAUGACCCAGGAAGGACCCUUGACCCAGUGUCUGGCCUGUAGUAGGGCUCGCACAAAGGGCUCAAAUGGAAAGCAGCUGCAGAGACAGAGAAUCCGAUUGUGAAGGCACCCGAGACUCCAGGCAGGCGGAAGAGGCAGCGUCUUGGGUGCUGGGCUGGGUAACAGAGGCCAGGGUAUUGACCAGAAACUCCAACAAGCAGGGGACAGCUUGGGGGGUGGGGGGUUGUCUCCCACCCCUUCUUCAGGGUGCUGGCCUAGGAGACAGGGACCCCGCCUCGGGCAUCUCCUGCUUAACCUCAGUUUCUGUGUCCAGACAUGGGCAGGCCAUCCUGACUCUCUUAGCCUUGGUUUCCAUCUCCAAAAUGUGUCCAGUAGUGGCACCUUCCUUCUAGGGAGGGGUUGUGUGGUUAAGGUCUCGGGGCGGGCUCCUCAGUCAAACAGGCUUGGCUUUGAUCCUGCCUCUGCCUCUCACUAACUGUGUGACCUGGAGUAAGCCACCUCCCCUCCCUGUGCCUUGAUUUUCCCAUCUGUGAAAUGGAAACAAUAAUAGAACUAAUCUGCUGGGGAGAUGAACUGAGAAGACUCAGCCUGGUGCCUGGAGCAGAGUAAAGACUAAUGAUUAUUGUUGUCUUUCUUUUUGGAGGCAGAGUCUCACUGUGUUGCCCAGCCUGGAGUGCAGUGGCAGUGGCGCGAUCUCGGCUCACUACAAGCUCCACCUCCCAGGUUCAAUCAUUGACCCUCCAGCCUCAGCCUCCCGAGAAGCUAGGACUAUAGGCUCACACCACCAGGCCCAGCUAAUUUUUUGUAUUUUUAGUAGAGACCAGGUUUCACCAUGUUGACCAGGCUGGUCUUGAACUCCUGGCCUGAAGUGAUCUGCCUGCCUUAGCCUCCCAAAUUGCUGGGAUUCCAGGUGUGAGUCACCGCGUCCAGGCAUCUUUCUUAUUAUUAUUAUCCCAGGAGCUCCACCUGCUAAGGCCCCAGCCUCAGAAAGCCUCCCUUCCCCUGAGUGCUGGUUCAUCUCAACAAUUUCCUCACAUAUUUCUUGAGCAGCAACUAUACCGGUCUUGGCAAAGCCAAGGUUCUAUCUAGGAGAAGAAAGACAUUAAAUGAAGGACCCGUGUGUGAAGGGCUUGGUGAGUCUGGGAUCAAAGAGGCCCAGUAGGGUGUCAGAGGUCACGUAGCCAAGACAUGGCAGAGCUGAGAUGAAACCCCGCAGUGGGACACUGCCCCACUUGCCCCCCGACAGCGCUCUCCAGCCUCCAGGCCUUUGCUCCAGCUCUUCCUUCUGCCCAGACAUUCCAGACCCUGCACCGUCUCAUAUCCACUCUGCUGGAGGAAUGAAGAGAACAGCCCUUGGAGGCCGCAAAGUGUCCUCAAGCCUCAGUUUUCCCAUCUAUGAAAUGGGGAUAGCAUGGGGCUUUCCUCUCGGGCUGCAGAAAGGAUCGAGAAAAGGCUUAUUAUUCACCUAGGGCCUAGCCCUUGGGAACCAGUCCGGAAGGACAGCUGUUAUUAUUGCUAAUGCUGUUCCUAUCACAGUGACAGCGUGUCCCGUUAGGCCUGCAAACCCCUAUACCUCAGUUUUUCCUGUAAUGAAACCUGCCUGCUGAGGCCUCGGUGAGGGCUCAUUUAAUGAUAAUCUUUAGGGAAAAAAAAUACACCCCCCAAGCCGCCUGUGUGGCUGCAGCCCACAGGGGUAACCUGACGCCCCUCGCCUGACCUGGCCCCCAGGUCUUUGUGUGAGUCCUGCCCAGAUUACUGUAUUUGUCCAAACCCAAAGCCAAGGCUGGCAUGAGCUCAAUGCUCUGCAUUGUGCCAGAGCCAGGCCCCCCAGGCCUCAUCCCUCCUCCCGCUGGGGAUCCGGCCCCCAGGAGGUGUCACAGGGGAAAUCGGAAACCCAGCAGGGCCCACUGGGGUGGCCUCCUGGGUGCCAGGCCCUAGGCUUACGCUCCUUGCGUGUUGCCUCAUCAAUCCUUCAUGACCUCACUGUGCAGAAAGGCACAUGCUGUGCCCAUUUUCCAGAUGGAGAGAAUGAGGCCCGGGUAGCCAAAUUGUUGCUACAGUUCAUGCCGGUGGAAGUGGCAGAGCUCAGGUCAGGCUGAAGGAGGACCUGUCCCCAGAAGAGGAACCUGGGAACCCUGGAUCUUCAGCUGGAGCCAGGCAUCUUGGGGAGCAGAGAUGAAGGAAAGCCGAACCAUGUGGCAGGGGGCACCAUGGCUAAGGAUUCCGCCCUGAGUUCAAGUCCAGCUCUGCCACACGCCCUGCACAGAAACCUACUCCUCUCUGAACUUUGCUUUCCUGAACGAAAAAAAUGGGGGAGCAGCUGAGCACGGCAGCUCACGCCUGUAAUCCCAGCACUUUGGGAGGCCGAGGUGGGAAGAUCACUUGAGGUCAGGAGUUUGAGACCAGCCUGACCAACAUGGUGAAACGCUGUCUCUGCUAAAAAGACAAAAUUAGCCAGGCGUGGUGGUGGGCACCUGUAAUCGUAGCUACUCAGGAGGCUGAGGCAGGAGAAUCACUUGAACCUGGGAGGCGGAGGUUGCAGCGAACCCAGAUCGCGACACUGCACUCCAGCAUGGGCAACAGAGCGGGACUCCAUCUAAAAAAUAAGUAAAUAAAUAAAAAGUAACAAUAACAAUAAAUAAAUAAGGGAACAAUAGCUUUUCCUCAGGGGCUGGGAGAGGACUCAGGCCAUAAGGUAGGUGAAACACUUAGCAGGUAGUAAGUGCUCAAUCUACAGGAGCUUAAAAACCCAACCGCAUCCUCCAUGGGGAAGAAUCUGUCUCCUGCCUGCGGGUCUGAGAUUCCAAAACACUGAGGAAAUUUGGCUCCAAUGGGACCUGGUAUUUGGGGAGGGAGUUAAAAAGGAGGGGUGGGGAGCAGUUUUUGGAGAUCACUCUCUCCUAGGAGUUCCCUCCCCUCUUCCCAACUUCAGUUUCUCCAUCUGACCAGGCUCCUGCCCAGCCCCUCCUAGAGAGACUAGUUUCGGGGCUGAUUUUGUUGUUUGCUGUUUUUUUCACAUCUGCACAUACAAUCACUCAGUCUAGUGUGUCUCACAUGCCCGCAUGGAGCCACUGUGUGUGCACUGUUGUGGUUUUUCAUUUUUACUUUUCUGCAAAAGCCUUCUUUUUUUCCCUUGGUGACCAUUGAGAAUGGAUUCUUACCUAUUUUUCUGUAAGAAUGAAAAUCCCAUACAGACUGUCUGCCCGGACAAAGGGUUUCUUUAUCUGUCAUUCCUUUUACAAAUCAGAAUCACAUUGGGCAUCCUUUUCUGCAUCUUGUAUUUUUCACUCAAGAAUACCCACACAAGGCCAGGAGCGGUGGCCCAUACCUGUAAUCCCAGCAUUUUGGGAGGCUGAGGUGGGCGGAUCACUUGUGGCCAGAAGCUUGAGACCAGCCUGGCCAACAUGGUGAAACCCAGUCCUCUACCAAAAAUACAAAAAUUAGCUGGGCAUGGUGUCGCACGUCUGUAAUCCCAGCUAUUCAGGAGGCUGAGGCACAGGAAUCGCUUGAACCCGGGAGGCAGAGGUUGCAGUGAGCCGAGAUCAUGCCACUGCACUCCAGCCUGGGUGACAGAGCGAGACAGUCUCUCAAAAAAAAAAAAAAAAAAAUAUAUAUAUAUAUACACACACAUACACACACACACACACACACACACACACGAAACAAGCCCUUGUAUACCAAUUACCAUAGCAGCACUAGUCACAGUAGCCAAAAGGUGGAAACAACCCAACUGUCCAUCAGUCGAUGAAUAGAUAUGCAAAAUGUGAUCUAGCCAUACAACAGUAUUUGAUCAUUUUUUAAAAAUGAAGUACUGGUGGGGCGCAGUGGCUCACGCCCGUAAUCCCAGUACUUUGGGAGGUCAGGGCAGGUGAUCACCCGAGGUCAGGAGUUCGAGACCAGCCUGGCCAACAUGGUGAAACCCCGUCUCUACUAAAAAUACAAAAAUUAGCUAGACGUGGUGGCACAUGCCUGUAAUCCCAGCUACUCGGGAGGCUGAGGCAGGAGAAUCACUUGAACCCGGGAGAUGGAGGUUGCAGUGAGCUGAGAUCAUCCCACUGCACUCCAGCCUGGGCGACAGAGUGAGACUCCAUCUCAAAAAAAUUAAAAUUAAAAAUUAAAAAAAAAUGAAGUACUGAUGCAUGCCACAACGUGGAAGAACCUCAAAAACAUUAGGCUAAUUGAAAGAAGUUAGACACAAAAGGUCAUAUAUUGUAUGAUACUGUUUAUAUGAAGUCUCCAGUAUAGAUAAACCCAUAGAGACAGAAAGAAGACUGACGGUUGCCAGGAACUGGGGGGAGGCAGGAAUGAGGAGUGACUGUUUAAUGGGUACAUGGUCUCCUUUGGGUGAUUGAAAAUGUUUUGGGGCCUAGCACAGUGACUCAUGCCUGUAAUCCCAGCACUUUGGGAGGCCGAGGCAGGCAGAUCACUUGAGCCCAGGAGUUUGAGACCAGCCUGGGCAGCAUGACAAAACCGCACCUCUACAAAAAAUACAAAAAAUUAGCUGGGCGUGGCAGCAUGUGCAUUUAGUCCCAGCUAUCUAGGAGGCUGAGGUGGGAGGAUCACCUGAGCCUGGGGAGGUUGAGGCUGCCCUAAGCUGAGAUCACACCACUGUACUCCAG